RNAcentral lists this ribosomal RNA (449 nucleotides) under uncultured bacterium. Its description in RNAcentral is "partial 16S ribosomal RNA". It matches the Rfam family "Bacterial small subunit ribosomal RNA", at positions 329 to 794 of the family's 1533-position model. The record is from RNAcentral.
GGCCAGACUCCUACGGGAGGCAGCAGUGGGGGAUAUUGCACAAUGGGGGGAACCCUGAUGCAGCGACGCCGCGUGGGUGAAGGAGCGUUUCGGCGCGUAAAGCCCUAUCGGCAGGGAAGAAGGAGGACGGUACCUGACUAAGAAGCCCCGGCUAACUACGUGCCAGCAGCCGCGGUAAUACGUAGGGGGCAAGCGUUAUCCGGAUUUACUGGGUGUAAAGGGGGCGCAGACGGCAGCGCAAGCCAGGAGUGAAAGCCCGGGGCCCAACCCCGGGACUGCUCUUGGAACUGCGCGGCUGGAGUGCAGGAGGGGCAGGCGGAAUUCCUGGUGUAGCGGUGAAAUGCGUAGAUAUUAGGAGGAACACCAGUGGCGAAGGCGGCUUGCUGGACUGUAACUGACGUUGAGGCUCGAAAGCGUGGGGAGCAAACAGGAUUAGAUACCCGUGUAAC